Molecule: ribosomal RNA, 471 nt
Filed under: uncultured bacterium
Lineage: Bacteria
Description: bacterial SSU rRNA
Rfam family: Bacterial small subunit ribosomal RNA
Source: RNAcentral
ACUCCUACGGGAGGCAGCAGUAGGGAAUAUUGGUCAAUGGGCGAAAGCCUGAACCAGCCAUGCCGCGUGUCAGAUGAAGGUCCUCUGGAUUGUAAAUGACUUUUCUACGGGAAGAAUGAGCCGUCUGCGGACGGAAGUUGACGGUACCGUAGGAAUAAGCACCGGCUAACUACGUGCCAGCAGCCGCGGUAAUACGUAGGGGUGCAAGCGUUGUCCGGAUUUACUGGGUUUAAAGGGUACGUAGGCGGUUGUGCCAAGUCUGGGGUGAAAGUUUGCAGCUCAACUGUAAAAUUGCCUUGGAUACUGGUCGGCUAGAGUAGUGGAGCGGUGGCUGGAAUUUAUAGUGUAGCGGUGAAAUGCUUAGAUACUAUGAGGAACACCAAUUGCGAAGGCAGGUCACUGGUCACUAACUGACGCUGAGGUACGAAAGUGUGGGGAUCAAACAGGAUUAGAUACCCUGGUAGGAUAGCC